CGCUUUCCUUGAGGCCCCGCACCUAAAGAAACAUUGUGAUGGGAGAGUAAAGGUUUGAAAAUCGGAGACUUUGAGUACAAGGAGAACUGAAGGCGACAGGAGCAGACAGAGGCCAUCACAGGAGACAAUCUACAGGGCAUCCAGUCUCCUCCGGAGCACGGAGCUCUGGCCUGGUCCUGCAAGGUCCAGUAGUAGUGGGCAAAAUGAGGUCCAGAGCUGUUCUGAGAUAGCUCUUUACCCCUCUACUGGGACUCGAACCAGGGUCUUUAGUUUGCUAGGCUCACUCUGCCAUAGAACUUCACUAUAUUCCUGUCCCCUUCCAUGUCUUGUUUACAUUUUGUUAUUUGGUUUUUGUUUUUGAGAUAAGAAAUCACCUUGUAAUCCAGAAUGCUGGGCAAGUUGCUAUGUAGCUCAGGCUAUCUGCAACCUUCUGCCUCAGUGCCAGGAUUACAGAUGGAUGCCACCAUAAAUCUACAGUCCCCACCCUCGCAUGUUUUAAGUCACACACAGUUGAAGAUCUUUACAGGUCCUGGGUGUCUGACUUAGUCAGGGUUUCAUUGCUGUGAAGAGACCCCAUGACCUCUUAGAAAGGACAAAGGUUAACUGGGGCUGGAUUAUAGACGUUCAGUCCAUUAUCAUCACGGCAGGAAGCAAGGCAGCGCCAGGCAGACACGGUGCUGGGGAAGGAGCUGAGAGUUCUACAUCUUGAUUUAAAGGAAGACAAGAGCAGUCUGUCUUCUAGGUGACUAAGAGAAGGGUCUCAAGGCCCUCCCCUCCCCCCAGUGACACACUUCCUGCAACAAGGCCACACCUCCUAAUAGUGACAUUCCAGGGCCAAGCACACUCAAACCACCACAGAGCCUGCCGGACUAGGGGCUUCUCAGCCCAGGCUGCCCUGAGGCAGGAAACGUCUUGAGGAAGAGGGUGAGGGCAGUGACCACCUACCCUCCAGGACUCACAAUUCUUGGGAGAACCGAAAGGGUGUGAACUAUAGAAAUCGGUGUGAGGGAGAAGAAAUGGUCUCCGGCCUCUGACCCCAGAAUACAGAACAGAUGACUUCCUUGUGUCUCUCUCAUGGCCCUCAUGGCCCUCAUGGCCACCUUCCCUUGUCUGCCGCCUGGCAUGGGCAGUGUCUCUACUUCUCAGAGGCCAUCAGACUACUGCAGUGCCUGGGGGGACAUCGUCGUCGUUCUGAUCCUAUCUGCAUGGAUGAAGCAUCAGACCCCACAGGAUGAGGGCUCAGUCCCAUAUGACUGUCCCCAACCUCAGGACAGUUGCCAAGAAGACGGAGCACGCAGUUUUCCCUCUCCUCCCAGUUCCCACCACCACCUCCCCUUUCCCCCAGGAUCCACUGCUCCUCUGUUCCCCUUUAGGAAAGGGCAGACCUUCCCAGGGAUGUCAAUUGAACAUCCAACAAGAUGGACUAAGACCAGACACAAAAUUGCACAUCUAGGCUGGACAAGGCAGCCCUGUAGGAGGAAAAGGGUCCCAGGUACAUGCAAAAUAGUCACAGACAUCCCCAACUUUCGUUGGUCCACAAACUCCCAAGCUAACCAACACAGCACAUAUGCAGAGGACCCAGCACAGACCCACGCAGGCUCCACGAUUGCUGUUUCAGUCUCUGUGAUCUGCUGGCCGUCUUCUCCUGGCGUCUGUGACCCCUCUGGCUCCUACAAUCAACAACUUGGGAUUUCUGAGGCUGGGUUCUUUGAAGAUUUAUAACUGCUGAGUGUCUUACCUGGCACACUGCUGCCCCCCUGUGCAGAAAUCUGGGCUAGCAUCCUUUAGGACGAAGAGGAUGAAUGGCAGGAAGUGGCCAGAGACCUGCUGUAUUAGGUCUGUUUAGAUGCCCCAGUGAAGAUGGUUGAAUGCAGUUCAAAUCACUGCCCUGCUGUAUCAGGAGCAAGCGAAGCGGCUACGACUGCAGGUCACUGAAUUGGGGGUGGGAUGUUACACUCCAGUUAACCAAGACUACAGGUGUAAGGGUUCCCAUAGCCGUUUAGUGUUGUUCUAAGUGUACUGAGACCUUAGCACAACUGACAGGAGGUGAGCGGCACCAUUCCAACCUCAGCAUUUAGACCUCCACAGCUGCCAAAGAACUAGUCCACUGGAGACCCAGUCUGUAGUGUGUCAGGGCAAAGUCCCUAAAUGUCCUAACCUUGCCUUUUGGCAAGGUUACAGUUCCAUUUUCACUAACUGUUCUUGCUAGCUGAAGUGUGUCAACCAGGAUGUGAUGUCUGUGCAUAAAGGGCAAAGAACAGAGCAGCUUGGGCUGCAUGAUUUGCGUUAGUUCCCUUGCAGUCACCGGCUGGCAAUACUUCUAUUGUGCUUUAAGUGUACCUGUGUGGGCUGGACCUAGGCCUCCCGACACGUAUGUAGCAGAUGUGCAGCUUGGUCUUCAUGUGGGUCCCGAAUAACUGGAGCAGGAGUGGGGGGUAGGAAUGGGGGAGACUAUUCCAAAAACUAUUGCCUGUGCGUGGGAUAUGUUCUUCUGCUGGGCUGCCUUGUCUGGCCUCAGUGGGAGACAAUGUGCCUAAUCCCACAGAAACCUGAUGUGCCUGGGUGAAGGGGAUCCCCAGGGGGCCCCACUAGCUCGAAGAAGGAGGGGAUGGGGGAUGGGGGAAAGGAUUGUGGGAGGGGAUGACCAGGAAGGAGGGUUGUAGUGAGCAAGAUGUAAAAUGAAUUAAAAAACAAAAAGACUCUUCCGUGUAUUCUCGGGGGGAAUUACCUCAGAACAAUACCUCUCAUGAAUGAUACAUAGCUGGUGUUUAAACAAAUUUGGUCUGACAAGUCUGGCAUUUAGUAGCUGGGUCCACAUAUUUCAUAUUUAAUUAUUGAUAUAAUUAUGUUGAUGAAAGGAAGAAUUCCUUAGUGCUGUCAUAGGAAGUAGAGCUUAAUUGAACAAAGAAAUCAGAACAGAGCAGGUUCUGAAAACAGCAAUCAGCGUUGAAUUUUGCAGGUGUCUGCAGAGUAAGAGAACUUACACACACAAAACUUAAUAGUUAGCUGCUUGGUCCAUUUCAGAGCCUCUAGGAGCUGAUAAUUGGCAGGUCCUGCCUCUGAACCCAACACUCACUUGGUAUAUUGGGCAGAUGUUGAAUUCCAUUCCGUGUCCAUGGUCUUCUGCUGAUGUUACUGGCAGUGCGUAUGCUGCAUCUUGUUUUGGGUUUCCAUUGACUAGACUGAACUGGUAUUCUAUUAAUGCUAUGACACAACAGUGGUGCAAAAAUAAUGCUAGUAAGCCAGACCUGGUGGCAACAGCCUAUAACCCUAACUACUGGAGGAUGAGGCAGGAUAGAAAAUUCAAAGCUAUUUGUGCUGCAGAGGAAGUCCAAGGACCUGAGCAACUAGGGGAGACUAUGCCUCAAAAAACAAUGUUAAGAAGAAAGUGUAUUAGUCACGGUUCUCUAGAGCAGAAUGUAUAGAAUGAAUCUCUCUCUCCUCUGCCUGCUAUCUAUCUAUCUAUCUAUCUAUCUAUCUAUCUAUCUAUCUAUCUAUCUCAUAUAUAUGCAGGCUGCUGUCCAGCUAAUCAAACAACAAUUGGCUGAACAUAAAGCCCACGAAUCCAGUAGUUGCUCCGUUCACAAGGCUGGAGCCUCUGCUGAUUUCCUAUAUACUCUGGAAUCCCGUAGAAGCCGGCUCUGAUGCCAGUGAAGGAUGGAUGUGCUAGCCAUGUGAGGGCAAGCAGGCGAAGAGCAAAGGCUUCCUUCUUCUAUGUCAGCAUUUCUUCAUUUGUGGGAAGCAGCCCCUUUGGGGACGAAUGACCCAGAGAUUGACUAUCAGAUGUUCUGAAUAUCCGAUAGUGGCAUAUGGCUCAUAAUAGUAGCAAAAUUAUAAAAUAGCAAUAAAAAUAAUUUUAUGGUUGGGAGUCACCACAACAUAGGAAACUGUACUAAAGGGCCACGGCAUUGGGAAGGUUGAGAGCCACUGCUCUAUGUCCUUACAUAGACUUCCAGCCGAAGGCGUGGCCCAAAUGAAAGGUAUGUCUUCCCACCUCAAGAUCCAGAUAAAAUGCAUGUAUCUUUCCACC
Molecule: long non-coding RNA, 4030 nt
Organism: Apodemus sylvaticus (European woodmouse)
Lineage: Eukaryota; Metazoa; Chordata; Mammalia; Rodentia; Muridae
Exons: 3
Source: RefSeq, a predicted model, not a curated record